GGGCCCUUAGCUCAGUUGGUCAGAGCAGGGAACUCAUAAUUCCUUGGUCGCAGGUUCGAGUCCUGCAGGGCCCA
This 74-nucleotide transfer RNA is filed under the name Phycisphaerae bacterium. RNAcentral's name for it is "tRNA-Ile". It matches the Rfam family "tRNA". Rfam says of the family: Transfer RNA (tRNA) molecules are approximately 80 nucleotides in length. Their secondary structure includes four short double-helical elements and three loops (D, anti-codon, and T loops). The record is from RNAcentral. Lineage: Bacteria; Pseudomonadati; Planctomycetota; Phycisphaerae.